UAUGGUAAUUCCAGCCGCCGCGGUAAUACGGAGGAUGCGAGCGUUAUCCGGAUUUAUUGGGUUUAAAGGGUGCGUAGGCGGUUUAUUAAGUUAGUGGUUAAAUAUUUGAGCUAAACUCAAUUGUGCCAUUAAUACUGGUAAACUGGAGUACAGACGAGGUAGGCGGAAUAAGUUAAGUAGCGGUGAAAUGCAUAGAUAUAACUUAGAACUCCGAUAGCGAAGGCAGCUUACCAGACUGUAACUGACGCUGAUGCACGAGAGCGUGGGUAGCGAACAGG
RNAcentral lists this ribosomal RNA (278 nucleotides) under Odoribacter splanchnicus. RNAcentral's name for it is "partial 16S ribosomal RNA". It matches the Rfam family "Bacterial small subunit ribosomal RNA", at positions 493 to 776 of the family's 1533-position model. The record is from RNAcentral. Lineage: Bacteria; Pseudomonadati; Bacteroidota; Bacteroidia; Bacteroidales; Odoribacteraceae.